Molecule: transfer RNA, 86 nt
Filed under: Deltaproteobacteria bacterium RIFCSPHIGHO2_12_FULL_43_9
Lineage: Bacteria; Deltaproteobacteria
Description: tRNA-Leu
Rfam family: tRNA
About the family: Transfer RNA (tRNA) molecules are approximately 80 nucleotides in length. Their secondary structure includes four short double-helical elements and three loops (D, anti-codon, and T loops). Further hydrogen bonds mediate the characteristic L-shaped molecular structure. tRNAs have two regions of fundamental functional importance: the anti-codon, which is responsible for specific mRNA codon recognition, and the 3' end, to which the tRNAs corresponding amino acid is attached (by aminoacyl-tRNA synthetases). tRNAs cope with the degeneracy of the genetic code in two manners: having more than one tRNA (with a specific anti-codon) for a particular amino acid; and 'wobble' base-pairing, i.e. permitting non-standard base-pairing at the 3rd anti-codon position.
Source: RNAcentral
GCCGGGGUGGCGAAACAGGUAGACGCACAGGACUUAAAAUCCUGGGGGCCGAAAGGUCCAUGCCGGUUCAAAUCCGGCCCUCGGCA